Non-coding RNA from Rattus norvegicus (Norway rat), 63 nucleotides. The record is from Rfam. NCBI's taxonomy places the organism in Eukaryota, Metazoa, Chordata, Mammalia, Rodentia, Muridae.
GGGGAUUUAGCUCAGUGGUAGAGCGCUUGCCUAGCAAGCGCAAGGCCCUGGGUUCAGUCCCUA